AGACCACCACGGUGACUUGCAAGCAACUCACUGCACUUAGGCACUGGACUACCUGAAUUUUUAAUUCAGUGACGGAAGGCUGCUGGGUGUAGUCAAGUACUUGACUUGUCGGUGCGUGUGUCAAGAUGGGAUUGACCACUCCAGUUUAGGAGCUAUGUACAGUCGUGUUUUAAUUUAGCAAAACAUUGGCCAAGGUAGUCCUUGUGAGGAGUCA
Molecule: long non-coding RNA, 214 nt
Filed under: Elaeis guineensis (African oil palm)
Lineage: Eukaryota; Viridiplantae; Streptophyta; Magnoliopsida; Arecales; Arecaceae
Description: long non-coding RNA (EGUI_LNC039486)
Source: RNAcentral